GUAAGUGUAUUUCUUGUUGCAUGUCACUUGGUUCUACAAAUCACAAUGCAUGGCGUCAUGCUGAUGGCAAGUUUGCUACCACUGUACGUUUCCUCCACCCAUGUUCUCCAUGAGAGGUCCGUGUCUGGAGAGCAAGCUCUGAAAACUAUUUAUGCUGUGUUUCAAAUGCGGAAAAUUAGAGCAACAGCAGCUCUUUGUUCACCCCCGUGCUGCAGCAGUGAUGUUUGGCUGUCUGUCGGGGCAUAGUGGGUUUUAUAGUAGAUGUCUCGGUGAUUUCUUUCUGAUAAGAGGCAGUAGGUCAUUGCUGAAUUAAAUACUUAACAAAGCAACCUGGCCUUGCAACCGCACUACUGAUUGGAGUCCAGAAGCAAGGUAUGUGCAUGAGCUCACUGUGCAUUUCUCCUCACUUCUGCGCUGGGAUAACUUGAAAAGCCAAGGAGAGGUAGAAGUAAAAGUAGAAUUUAACAGCGCCAUGCUGAUUCGAGACUAGAAAGUGUGAGGAGGAAGUAAUAAGCUUACCUUUUCCUUUUGUCACUCAGCAAAUUCACAGAGUUGUCCCUGGAGAGAACAAUGUUCAUGUGAGCACCGGGGCAUUACAGCAAAUAAUUCCACUGCCUCAACCACAAACUAAUUAAAAAACCUCCGAUGCUCUCCAACCCCUUCCUCUGUUUCAUUUCCUUUCCAGGCAGGACUUCAGUUCAAGUCUGACAUCCUUUGGGGCCUUUGCAAUGAAUAAGACUAUUGCAGUUGUUCUAGAGCUUUCCUAAGCUUUACUUGGAGAAACUACCCAAGUAUUCAGCAAUAUGUGUGAACCAAGACCUAAAAGCUGUGUAUAUCUGGCAUAAGAGAGAGAAAACUUGGAACACAGAGUUAAAAUUCAUUCUGUUUCUCAUACAGGAGCUGCUACACCUAGAGUGAUACUAUUCAGAAGAGCUGGCUUGGGGCAACCAAGUGCUGGAGGAGGAUCCCAUGCAGCACUUCAGGAUGUAACAGCCCUGCUGUUAUGGUGGCAAGAAAUGAGACGAAGUCUUAGGAAAAGCAGCGUGAGGAGUGGGCUUCUUAACACUGACGUGGGCUGUGUGAGGCAGGGUUAAAAGUCUGAUCCGCCGCCUGCUGUACACACAGUCAUCAACCUUCCACAGACUCAUUCUGCUUUCCUCAUGGACCUUUCUUCUGCUGCCCUCCUACCUCCAGGACUCAUCUUUACCUCCUCUUCAUUGACUCUGUCCAUGAAAGUUGCCGUCAGGGUGCGUCUCUUGUUUUCCUUGACUGACUCCUCAGUGUGUUUCUCAGCCUGCAAGGUAAUUUAAAAGGAAUAGAGCUGAUGUUUUUAAAGGAAUGCCUCCAGAUCUAAGCUUAUCUGUGCCCAUACGAGUCCACUGAUAAAUUUAAGGAGCAGAUUUGGCUUCCCCUCUGGCUGAUGGGUACAUUUCUACAUGGAAAGAGGUUGUUCCAGCACAUCACUGCAGUGUGGGAUCACAAGGAGACCGGCGUGGAUGUCAGGAUAUUGCUGUGGGAGCUUGGACUUGGAAUGAGCCUUGUACAAAGCCUGGAUGGUGACCUUCUACUGUGUUGGCUGCACCACUCAGCUUGGUGUCAUCAGCAGACUUGAGGAUGCACUCAAUCCCACUAUCCAGGCUGAAGAUGUGAAGCAUGCCACUAGAAAGCUCAAAACUGAUGUAAUUCAGGCCUGGAGCAUCUUGUGAGAGUGGCUGCGCUGAAUUCCUUCCUACCAGGAUUUCUCUAAAGCACUCAGGAAUCCCAGAACUGCAGUGGUUGGAAGGGACUUCUGAAGAUCAUAGAGUCCAACCUCCUGUUCGAGCAGCUUCCAUAAAGCAAGUCACACAGGAAAGCAUCCAGUCUGAAUGGUGACGGAGGGUUGGAAAGGCAGAAGAGGAUGAACUUCCACUUCCAAAUGGUCAACAACAGAAAUGAGAGAUCUGUACAUGGAGACAACUAGCACAGGUUACCCAAAGGCUGGAUUAAAAAGCAAAGACAAAAGCUCAUCAUUGAUGAAGUGGAGCCUCGUCAUGUGAGGUGCCAUAGCAGCACAGACUAAACACACUCUUCCUGCUGCAGGAUGCUUGCAGUGUCAGAGCAGGCAAAGCUUAAGUAAAGCAAAGGAGAGCACAAGCACUGCCUCGCUGAGCCCCUCUGUAACCACGACUGUAACACUAUAAUGGGAUGGAAAGUACUGCAAUAAUAGCAGGGUAGCAAAGUCUUUGGCUACAGCGGAAGAGAAUAAGCCUAAAUGCAGCAGAUACAGAAAAGAAAAAACAAACAAACAACACUGCUUACCUUUGGAAGGCCUCAGCUCAUUUUCCUAUGCAAUGGGAAUGCCACCAUGCAUCUAGAAGGGCUCGUCAUCUCCUGUGGACUUGGCUGCAAGCAGCUUGUCAUGAAGCCAGCUAAAGUGCAGGUUACCAGAGAGCUGCUGAAGUGUUACUUCAAUGCUAGUGUUAUUGUCUUCACAUGGAUAAUUGAUGCUGGAAUAAGUGCUAACCUAAAAUAAAAUGAUAGAAAUUUUCUUUCCUGGACAGCGCUAGUGAUGCUUCAGCUUUUGACUCACAUGAGUGAGCUCAGACCGUGGUUUGCUCUGUGCCUCAAAAAGGAGAACGACCGUAUGAAGCGUGGAUUGCAUCAAUUUAGUUUGGUUUGGAUGGGAUCGGAUUGGUUUUCCUCCCAGCUGUGUGUAACAAAGACAGCUUUAUGCAGUUACACUGCACGGCAAGCUGGAAUUUGAUUUUGUGGACUUGACACGGAUUUCAUUCAACACAGGGAUUUGCAUAAAAUGGCUAAUGGUUUGUGCUGUAGUCACACAAAAGUCAAUAACAACGUCAGGGGAAAAAAGGGCAGAUUGGUGAAGAAUGAGAAUGCCAGCCAGGAUCCUGGCAGCGUGGAGAUGAGGCUGAGGAAAUGCCAACACAGAUGAACAAAGGAGCCCUACGCUGCUGGCACUGAGCAUGAGCCCCAACCAGCCCUGCAGAUAGGAGCUACCUGCAAAGCCAGCCUGAGCGCAGGGCAUGGCAUGGGGGGAGACAGGGAAGCACCAAGGGAAGAGGAGAAAGAUGUUGUAUCUGAAUGCUAGGGCAGAAAGCUUCCGCUUAUUUAUCUGCUUUUGAAUUUUAAUGAUCAGUUCGAGUGAUAAUUACGGAAUUUCUAUAUUUAUAUAAAACCAGCACAUAAAAUAGCACGAUUUGAUAUUUAUGAAGUGCCAGUUUUCCAUAAAUACAGAGAUUUGUUAAUGAGCGCUGGGAACUAUUCAUUAAAAUUCAGAAGUAGAUAAAUAAUGAAUAGGAAUUGCUGUUUAUUCAUUAAAAUUCUCCAAAAAGAAAAAAAGAAGAAAAGAAAGAGAAAAAGAAAAACUCCUCGCUUAUUGUUGCCGAACCUAAGCCUGUUUCAUAAGCAUUUUGUUUUAAUUAAUGCCAUUUGACACUAUUAGUGCCAGAAUGGUAGAGAGUCAUUUGGACAUUGCAGGCUAUAAGUUGGGCUGCAGUAAAGCCAUCCAGGGCCCUGAUGUUAAACCAGUGUGGGCUCCAUUUAAGCAUCCAGGACUGCUGUAGGUGCAUCCCAACUGGGGAAAGAAGGGUCAGUCCUGGGUGCAGCGUUGCUCAUUGCCCAUGGCUGCAGAUCCAUGGAUGUGAAGCUGUGCAAAGAUGCUGUUCUGGAGUUCAGCACUUCUCUUCUGUCUUGACAGCUGAACAAGAUGAUCUUCGAGGUCUUUUCCAACCUGAAAUUGUCAGGUUGUGCAGUUGGAAUGUUGUUGGUAAGAAAAUGUGAAACAUGGCUCCACACCACACAAAAACACUGCUGGGCUAAGCUUUGUGUUAGUAAGAUUAAUGCUGGCCUGGUGUAGUUGCCAGGUCAGGAGCAGUUGUGUCUGGAAACGUGUAAUUACAUUACAUAGCUGACCAUCAGCUUAACAUUCAGACCACUGCAGAUGCUGGAGUGGCAUCAAGUUUUGAGCUGGGCACAGGAAACUUGCAGGCAAAGCGCCCUGGGUUACAGCAUUACCCUUUCCUUUCUUUGGUUCCCUAUCAUUGUUUUGUCCCGCACACACAUUUGCUUUACGCUCUUUGCAUCCUCCAUACCAUGGAGGCAGCUCUCAGAACGCCAACGGGAGGCAGCAUCCAGACCUGGCAGCAUCCUCUUGGCUCCGGGCUCUCCAAGGCAGCUCAUCCCCAUCACUGCAGCCAGCACAGGAGCUGGGGGUCCCAGCCAUGGGAAUUCUCCCCGUUGGGUUUGGGGAAGCAGGAUUGGUCCCGCAGGGAGCAGGCUUGCUCGCUGCUGGCUCCAGCUGCGGAGCACAGGAGGAGAAGUGAUGCUGUCAGUGGUGCAUCUGUCAAGAACGCGAGGUAAAGGGUUGUCAGGAAAGACAUGGAAUUGGAAAUGAGGAUUCGGGGCCCCUUUAAAAGAGCUCUUGUCUUUUUUUUUUUUUUUUUUUUUUUGAAAUGAAGACAGACAAAAUGGAUCUUAGUAUAUUUAAAAAGGUCUUAACGGCAUUUGGGCUGCAAAAGGUUUCCUUUCCACCUUUCAUUCCUUCUGUCUCCCCUUGACCUCUCGCCUUUCCCUGAAAGCUGGAUAUAAAACAAUAAAAUGUGGGGCUUUAUGUAGAAUACCAAAUCGGCUCCUGUGGGGAACAGAAUUAAUUCUACUCAGGAGCAGAAAACGAAACCCAGAAGCAUCAAAGCGUAGACAUAAAUUCAAUAUCCCACUGAGCCCAUCACUUAGGAUACUUCACCCUUUCCUGCAUGUCUAUCUUUCAAUCAAAUGUAGAUGUAGGGAAGGGUUUAUUUUAGUUUAGCCUGGUGUUACAAAGGCAGAAGGGAAAGAGCAGCAGCAGUUGCUGUCUAUUUGCCGUGUGAGGUUUAUAAUUUCACAAAUGCCAAAUGCAUUAAUCCAACCUGUCAUGUCGCCACUCUGUUUGUAGAUCAAAUGGGAUUAAAAGAUUUAGUUGAAGCUUUCCUGAUACAUUUAAAUAAUAUGACUGGAAAUAUAAUAUUCAGGAAAAUGAAUAUUUUAGAAGUACAAUUUGGAACACCUGAUACGUUAACACCCACUGUAUUAAGAAGGAGCAGAAGGGAGGUUGUCCCAGUCCUGCAGAGCAAUGCUGGUAGCACACUCCAUUCUUAGCACCAGGAAGCUCACCUCAAGCAUCACUGGGCUCAUCCACUGCUGGAGAGUCCCACAAGAUGCUCCAGCACAAUUACAUGCGGGGCUCAUCGUUAAGCAAAUGCUUACACAUUUUGCUGGAUGGAACCUUUACAUUUUUGCAGCCAUACUCAGCCUUUUUUUUCCUCUUUAUUAUAUCCAUUGUUUGUUUAUUCUGCACAAGGGACCACAGGCCUAAACUAUUGUCUUUUCUGACCCUUAUUCUGCACCCUGGACAUCUGGUUGUGGUGUGAGCAGAUGCACCCAGAGCUGUCCAGGCUUUUGUGUUACAUGUGAGUGGGGCAGUGGUGGCUGGAGCCCAUGAAGGUUGCACCAUCCUACCAGCAUGAAACUGAAAUGGGAGCAAAUAAGUGUGGAUUUUGAGCUUGUUUUGAAGGAAAUGAGGUUAAUCAUCUGGAUAGAAAGAAAGAAACAGUCAUUGCUCUCCCAGUGGUAGAUAUUCUGACCUUCAGUAGCAGAUUUUGGUUAGGCAGCUGCUUCUCAGUAGACAUGUUCUACCUGAAUUCCAGCAGAGGAUGUGAUAAAACAGUGCAGGAUGUUACGUACCCACGUAGGUACUUGUUCAAGUGAACAAAAAAGGGAGAUUGCAAAUUAAAUCCUUUCAAGGGUUGAUGCUGGGGUUUGUGUUUUAACUACUGACUUGUCCAAAAAGUAGCUGUGAACCAAAUGGUGAUGCAAGGGUGGAGUGGGCAGCAGCGAUCCAAUGGCAGCAGAAGCAUUGAGCAGAGCAAUAUCCUGAAGGCAGGAGAUACCACACAGGAGGACUGGGCGAGCUUAGGGAUGGGAAAACAGCCUUUAAUGACAUGAAGGGCUUCAUCGUGAUGAUAGCAAGAGUUUAUUCUAACAAAUAUACAUGGUUCUGUUAGGCACAACUGAGUAAGAGAGACAGGUGAUUGCACUGGGCCAAAAAGCAGUCCAUGAAGCUACAAAGUAUGAAUGGCCAAGGCUGCUAUGGGCAGCUUUCAGCAGGAGGGAAGCCCUGGCCCCACUGCAUAGGGCUGGGCUGGGAAACACGCUGCAAUUCUCAUAGUACAGAUGGGUGAACUGCACCAGAGCAGCUGCAGAGAUGGGUGCUUAAGGGUGAUGGAGAGGACAAUGCAUGGUCCUUACCAAGGUCUGGGUGCAAGUGUAGCCGAUUUAACAUAAACACGAUGUCUCUGUAAGAUCCUUCAUUUCUUGGCUAUUCCCCCACCAAUGUGCCCAUCUGAGACAGUCUAAUAGGGAAUGAAGGAGGUUAACAAUGCUUGCUAGCUACUUUUGUUUGUAGAAAACAUAUGAAGCUUAGACAGAAAAUCAUUGCCAUUUUAACAUCUCCUUUUUCCUUUUUCAGAAUGCAGUGUAGCAGUUGAUACAAACACUGUGUGUGUUAACCCAGAUCAGCAGCUGGGUUAACAAGGACCCUGAUUCUGGGCCAUUCUGAGGUUUGGGUAAUGUUUUCAUCCUGUGUCCCAAGUUGUACCAACCUGUCUUCCAAAGCACAAGCAAUCAUUAUGUCAUUUAACAUCUCACUGCACUGUCUAAUACUUCAUAAGCCUCCUGUCUUUUAAGGUAUAUCAUACAUAUGCAAAGGAAAUUGCCUUCCAGCUUCUGUUCUUAACAAAAUCAAGGAAAAUAAAUCGUGACCAAUCUUACAGACGCCAUCACUUGCAUGGCACAAAAUAGUCUCAUGUUGUCUCGUCUGCUUUUUUCCCACCUAUCUGAAAUUCUCUUUCCCACUGACACAGUGAGAACUGCAUGCUGUGGAAAAUCAGUGUCCAUGUUAUAUAUUUCUGACAAGCCCUGGUAUUAUCCAGGGAACAAUCCGUUAUAUAUUGAGAGGUGAGAGCUUGUGCCUUUAACUCAUGUUAUCUCACCAUGAUUUCAAAUAUAAACACUUUCCAGGAGUGAGUGAAUAAAACUGAAGGCUUUAGGGUUCUGUCAUGUCCAGUUACAGUCAAGCUUCACACUGUAGCCCACUUCUGAAAAUAAGAAACUGUUUUUCUGAGCCAGUCCUUAUUUAUUUAUUUAUUUAUUUUGGCUGAGCUAAGUAGAUGUUUUGUUGUUGAAAUGUUUUGAAGCAAUGGGCCUUUUUUUGCAAAAUAUUUUCCAGCAGUGAAAUCAUGGAAUCAUUGAAUGGAAUCACAGAAUGGCUUGGGUUGAAAGGGACCCCAAGGAUCAUCAGUUCCAACCCCCCUGCCACAGGCAGAGCCACCAACCUCCAUACCUAAUACUAGACCAGGCUGUCCAGGGCUCCAUCCAACCUGGCCUUGAACACCUCCAGGAAUGGGGCAUCCACAACCUCUCUGCGCAGCUGUUCCAGCAACUCACCACUCUCUUGUAAGAGACUGCUAGAUCUUAAGCUGGUUCCAAUCACAACUGUGUCUGGGUACCUAUGGCAGAUGAAUGCUUUGGGCCAACAAGCGUUGGACCUGCCUACCUGUGCUCAUAAAUCCUGCAGGCUUUCAUGCACUGCUCAUAGGCAGAAAGUUUCUGAUGUGCAUAUGCUUGCAAGGAGUAAGACCCAAAGCAAAUUGAGUUAGGCAUGACAUCAAGACACACUUGCAAAAGCAAUUUUAAUCAAUUACAGCUACAAUCGCAUGCUGUACAAGCCGCAACUGGAUUGUCUUAUGUACCAGCCGAUCAUAUUGGGCAUGUAAGAUUAAAUUAAAGUUUUCUAAUUGCAUUUAGGAACAUACAAAAUACUACAGUCUAAAGUGUAGCAAAUUAAUUCUUCAGGCGUAACCUAAUUGGAUGGAAAUUGAUUUAUCGUGUUUGGACCAAAUGAGCCAGUAAGGCAUGACUAGGAACCGCGCGGUAAGGAGAACACCAUGUGUGUGUCAGUACCACUUAGAGGAGAGAGCAUGUCCAGGAGAAAUGAAGGGUGCUGUGUCGGAACGUCUCUUCUCUCUGCAAAGGGAAGCACUGAUACAUUCCCAGCCUCUUUUGUUCUUAUGCACAGAGUGACUGGAGAGCUUUUGCUUACUUCUGAAACUCCAGGGUGUAGAUAGGUGAGUAAGGGAAGGAGGAAAAGAUUUUCUCGGGUUCUGUAAAUAUUAUCAUUCUGUAAAGGGAGGAUUUCAGCCAUUAUCCUAACAUGCAGUAGAAGUGGGUAUAGAAUUUCCCCCGGAUUUUUGGAUAGCCAAGCAACGGGGCCAGGGCUGAAGGCAUCCCCAGUACAGGAAGGACGAGGAGCUCUUGGAGCGGGUCCAGAGGAGGGCCACUAAGAUGGUCAGAGGGCUGGAGCACCUCUCAUAUGAGGAAAGGUUGAGGGAAAUGGGCUUGUUUAGCUUGGAGAAGAGAAGACUUCGGGGACACCUCAUUGUGUACUUGAAGGGAGAGUAUAAACAGGAGGGGGAACGUCUGUUUACAAGGGUGGAUAACGACAGGACAAGGGGGAAUGGUUUUAAACUGAGACAGGGGAGGUUUAGGUUGGAUAUUAGGAGGAAGUUUUUCACGCAGAGGGUGGUGACGCACUGAACAGGUUGCCCAAGGAGGCUGUGGAUGCCCCAUCCCUGGAGGCAUUCAAGGCCAGGCUGGAUGUGGCUCUGGGCAGCCUGGGCUGCUGGUUGGCGACCCUGCACAUAGCAGGGGGUUGGAACUGGAUGAACGCUGUGGUCCUUUUCAACCCAGGCCAUUCUGUGAUUCUAUGAUUCUAUGAUCUCAUUCUCUCCAGAAGAUAACCUAUUUUAGGGUAAACCCUGUGGCACUUUCCAAUAGCAAUAGCACAGGAAGCUCUUUCCUCCCCAGUCUACCUUUUGCAUAAGGAGUAUGUUCUCUUUGUUGGCUUGGCCUCAUUCUGGCUGCCAGCCUGGGGAUGGCUGGUGAUGCACAGGUACAGCCAUAGAAGGCUGUUCAAGAGAUGCCUAGUAUUAUUAAUAAUACAAGGAAAAUUAAAUUUGCUUAUCACAAUGAGGGGAAGAAGAAUAAAGUUUAUUAAAUCUCCCCACCAAAAACGCUGACUUACUGAAAAUAACAGGUCUUCAUUAAGAAGAAGCUAAUUUGCCAUAAAGAAUUGCUUUACUUAUGUAAAGGGACCAAUUGCUGUAAUUGUGAGCAGCGCUCAAAAUGUCUCCCGGAGAAGAGAAGAGCUGCGCCUUCCUGAAUUUUAACUGCACAGGUUCUUGGAGUUGUGCUUUCCCCAAAGUGAAAUGCAAGCUUUAAUCAUCUGGAAAAUUAGAGGAUGGCAUUUGGGGUAUACAGAAAAAACAGAGGAGAGAUACUGCUAGCUUCCCAGCGAGAGUCCAACUCGCAUAGUAACUAAAAGGGAUGUUUCUCUUGUGGCUUACAGGGUGAACCUACUUAACAGCUCACAACUGUUUGGUAUCUCUGGAGGUUAAUUUUGAGAGCAAACAACUUGGAGUCAAGAAAAUCCUCAGCCUAUAAAGGGAGCAUCUACAUUUUAGCAGAGCCUCGUGCAAAAGCCUGGGAGAGAUUGAAUGGUGCAGUGACUCCCUGCUUGCUCCCAUUCCUCCAAAGGGGACACAGCACAGCCGAGGUGAGAAAUCUCACUUUCUGGGUCGGUUGUUCUCAGCACAGAUAUUGAACAGCUGUGGAAAGUUCACCUUCUCCCCAGGUUUGCUCUGAUUGCGCAGCUCAUGCUAGGUGAGCAACCUGACAAGCAGUGUUGUGCAGCAGAGCAGAGAAGGGGGAAUGGAUUGGCUCUGCUUUCAUUUCUUGCCAGCUUUUCCCCUGUCUGUGGGUUCCCAAAGGAAUUUUAGGCGAAGCAAGUCUGUUCUGGAAUCUUGGAGCACCAGGAUGUUGUGGUUUAACCUGGCUGGUGGCUCAGCAGCACAGAGUCAUUCGCCCCAAUGGGAUAGGGGAGGGAAGUGGGGGAAAAAAAAUGUAGAACUCGUGGGUUGAGAUAAAAUGAUUUAUUAAGAGAAAGGGAAAAGAGUAAGAUUUAUGACUACAUAUAGAUAUAUAUAUAUAUGAAUGUAUAUAACAAGUGAUGCACAAGCAAUUGCUCAUCACCCCACCCAGUUGUCCCUGAGCAGUGGAACAGAUCAAGAUGCGCUCCCACCCCCUUCAAAACUCCUUCCACAUGAUGCUAUAUGCUGUGGAUCAUCCUUUUGGACAGCUUAAGGAAGCUGUCCCAACUCUGUCCCCUCCCAGCUCCUUGGGCCCUUUGCUGAGAAUGACCCUGGCUCUGUGCAGCACUGCUUAGAGACAACUAUCAGCAUCAGUGUGUUAUCAACGUUGUUUUUCUCCUAGAGCCAAAACAUAGCAUCGUACCAGGCACUCUGAGGAAAACAAUUCCAUCCCAGCUGAAUGUAAGACAAGGGGUAUGGGAGGAUGCGGUGGAUCUGGUAUGUCUGAUGUGAAAAGCCACUACAGAGCAAAUAGCACCUGCAUACUGAUGUACCUCAGGUUGAUGCUGCAAACCUGCUGGGUGUAGCCCAGUGAAAGAUGGCAGCCAAGGACCUCAGCGCUGCAGAGGUAUUAACAGAGUUACAGGAGCUGUACGUGCAGUGUCACACCUGAUUUUAGACAACUUGCCUUCAGUAUUCAGUGCGCCAUUUCCCUUCGCAGUGGUUGGCUGCAGCACAGAUUUGAACAAAUGAACAUUUAUAGGAUACAGAAUCACAGAAAGGCUUGAGUUGGAAGGGACCUCAAAGACCAUUUAGUUCCAACCCCCCCCCCCCCGCCACGGGGAGGGCUGCCAACCACUACAUCAGGCACCUGAUCGGGUUGCCCAGGGCCCCAUCCAACCUGGACUUGAAUGUGGGGCAUCCACCUUUAAGACUUCAAAAUGCAUUUAAGUGUGUUUAAGAAUUUCAGAUGGUACUUUCAAGCACGCAAGGCUGGUUGGUGCCAGUGAUUUAUGGGGAGCUUGGAGGCAGCGCUGCUUGCCUGGCUGUGUGUGCUGUGGCUGCCUGAAGCCACUGGACCCGCUCUGGUUUCUAUCAGCUGUGGAUGGGUCCCAGAGCCCUGCAGGGUUCCUCUGAGUGACUUGAAGCACAUUCCCUCCCGUGGUGGAUGCGGGCCAGAAUGGAAAUUGAAAAAUGGGAGGAAAGGGCUGGAGACAGACACACUCCUGAGCGAUCCGGUGCCAUAAAAGCAAAUCCCUGUGGAGGCUUCUGGGAUUAUUUAAAAGAGGUGGUAAAUGACUCAGAAUAAAAAUAUAACAUAGUCCAGAAUCACCAGCUGUGUUUUCCUUCGAAUGGUUUAACAGUGAUUGUGUGCUAUGUCUAACAAUGAAAACAGAGCGAAACUCUUCUGCUGGAGUUUGCAGGCUGCCAGACUGCUGGGCAGUGAGAUGCUUGAGGAGGAGAAACUGCUUCAGAGGGGGGUACAGGUCCUGCUGGAUCCCUUCUAGGCAGCUCCAUGGGGGCUCAGUAAGCCCCAUUCCCAGAGAUUAACAUCCUUUGAGAGGAGAUUCACAUUAGUGAGAUUUUUAUUUAGUGGUAGCUGUUAUGGAGGUGAUAAAUACAUGUUAUAUCGAGUGGUUGUAUGCGUAUCAGUGGUUAUUAUCAUUAGGUGUUCAUAACCAACCUGUGCAUCUACUGACCUUGUAAUAAUCUGUACAAAUUGAUUAACUACUUAUCCCAACAUCCUUUCACCAGCCCUUUAGAAGCAGUUUAUGAACACACCCCUAACACAGAACAUUCUCACUCAGCUGUUUUCUUGACCUUGGGGCACAGCGCGAGGAAUCGAGCGCAUUAAUGCCUCAGAAGUCCUGCUCAUGAUUAUCACAAGGCUGAAUCUGUGCGUGGAUCAGUGCGUGCUGCUGCGAGGUUUCCCCAGGACCAGUCAGUGGCUGCGUGUGCAAUUGCUGCUGGCCCACACGCAUCGCUGCACAGCAGCGUGGGGCUGCUCUAGUGCAGAAAAUAGGGCAGGAUGCUGCUGGCAGUGCACUGCUUCCCCCGGAGCCCCCCCCGGUGCCUGCACUGCGCUGCAGGGGGAUGCCUGCUGCCUGCACUGCGGGCUUGGUGCACACAGAUCGCUUCUGAAGCACGGGGGCUGGGAAUCAGGGCAUCUGAGAACAACAACUGAAAGAAGGCAUGACAGGCACUGACCCUUCUGCCAGUUCUCCCUGUGCUCAGAUGCAGCACUGCAUGUGCUAUGUUGGCUCAGCCUCACCCCCACUCCCCUGAGCCUAUUUCUUGGUGUCCCCUGUUCACUUUGACCAUCGGUCCCUUUCCUUGGCUUUGUUAUCAGACCCACAAUCAGGGUUUAGUCAAAAUUGCCUCCAUUUUAUAUGCUUCCUCAAGGAGAUCGGCCAUGUCCAGACCCAUGCCAUGGGGAUGGCGGGGACAGCAGAGGCAGAGUUUCAGCAGACUGCAGCUAUCAGGGUCCAUCCAGCCCAGUGAGAGCAGGGCCAGCAGCACCUCCCUAUGCACCCCUGUGAGGACAAUGCCUUUGGCUGUUCUUUGUAUUUAACACUCACCUGUUUUGCUAUCCAGCUGAACAGAGCAAGCUUGGAGCGUGUGUUCAAUGCUACACAUGCAGAGUUGAACCUUCCACUCAUGUCCAGCUCUACUUCAUAAGACACGGGAGCUCCCAUCAUUACCAUCAGCCAAAAAUCUGCUCAAGCAACUCCACUGAAGGCUCUGGGAGGUGUGGCUUCUGCUCACAGUUUACUUUUUCAUUUGCUGAGCCAACCCCAUGUUCUGCAGGGUGGUGCUCACUGAGCAGCCAGCGCUGGAGCUCUGAGCUCCUUCCUUGGACAUACCGUGAGCCAUGGAUAGCAGUGGUUGGAAUUUGCCAACGUGUGCAGCACAUGUAUGGUGACUGUAUUUUGAAAAAAAAAUACAAUGUGGGAAAAAAAAAGAGAAAAGUAUUUUAAUUAUUUUAAAGGGCAGUAUUUGAAACAGAACCAAAGCCUUAAUUCUAGUAAGACUACCCACUAAUUUCAACCAGCUUCCCAAGCAGCAGCAGGAUUUCACUGGCAACAAAUUAUUUUCAUCACAGAAAUGUUAUCAUUUCAGGUUUUCAGCAGCUCCACUGAUGCAGGUGGUUCAGUUGAAGCCAGGCCGUAACAAAGCUGUUUCCUAAACGGUUCUUCUAAUUUUCAUGGUGAUUACUGCCAGCCAUCACAUUUAGUAGUCGCUUCAACUUCUUUUGGAAAUCUGUUGAUGUUUCCUGGGAUGAUGCUGUGAACACAGUGAGUCUCCGUGUUGCCUGAUGCAGAUUGUGCCUAUCGAGGGCAUAUCUACGCAGUGGCAAACCAUCUGCGAGCAGCCAGGAUUUAUUGUUUCACUGAUUCCUGGAACUGAAAAUAUUAACGACGUAAAAUAUUGAUUUGAGAAAACAAACCAAAGUUGUUUGGUGAGCCCCUCAUUCGGGCGCGAUGCUGAGAUGUCCAUCCAUUCCGUUUGUAUUUAUUGCGUGCAUUAUGUGCUACACGGAGCACCAAGCAUGAAAAAUACGCAGCCUAAGCUGAGUAACCUUAUUUCUUCUGAUUUCGUGUGAUCAGGAGGUGCCGUGCUUCCAAUUCAGGAGUAAAUUAGAGCCUGCUUUUCUUUGCCUAUUAAGAAUAACGGUGUGGACAAACACUGCUCCUGAUUUACUCUGUCAGAUCAUGCCCAAGUGGAAGAAGAGCCCUCCUGCACCAUAGCUUUGGGAGCAUCACAGUGGGAUGCAGUGCAGUCACGGGGAACACCAAAAAACCCACUUGUAUGAAGACAUCAGUGACUGGGAGCCUGCAUGACACAUACUCCUGUAGCCACAAGCACACACUGCCAGCCCCCAGGAGGUGACCCCAUCCACCCCCUGUGCCCCUGGAGCAGUUCAUUACAGUGCCCAGCUUUUCUAAGUGAGAUUUAUGGCUUGCCUGGGGAUAAUCAUUGCAAGGAAAAAGAUCAAUGAUAUGCAAGUCAGUGGGAAAAGCAGCAAGUUCCAAUCGCUGCCUCGUUGGAAGGCAUCAAACAUCUUCAUAAACUAUUUAAAGGUAGAAAUGAUCAUUAACCUUUGCUGUAGCCCAUUGCACACAGAGCAGUCAGUGCCGUUUAGGAUGACACACGGCUCAGCUGUGCAUGUCAGUGCUCUCAGGUCAUCUGCCCACCAGCUCUGUAUUGGAGGAGGUUUUGGAUGGGCAAGCCAAACAAAGCAGAGCUCGUUGCUCACUCUUCAGCCUUGCUUUGCAUCGACUCGCCGCUGCAUCACUUUACAGCCACCUCAAAUUAACAGCCGUGGUUAUUUUCCUUAGUCAUUAUUAUCCUUAAUAUGGCACGAAAGCACUUCAUUUUUCCUAUGGGACAAACCAUGACCCAGAUUCUCGUGUGCAGAGAUGGGAGAGGAGCAGCUCACCCGGGCUCAGCCUCUUUCUUUGAAAGCACAUUGAGGUGACAUCAGUGUCCCUGUGGUCCCACACCGCAUCCCUCUGCUGUGAGGACUCAUAGCACUCACUGCUAUGUUCUGAGUGGGAGAUGGUGUUGACAAUUCCAAUCCCACCUCCUUUCCUCCCGGCCUCUCUGAUGCUGGAUCAAUGACAUUUUUCUGAAGCUGCCUACAUUUGGUGUUUUACUGCCAACUGCAUGUGGCCCUCUCAUUUUAAUUACUUCUGCUGUGUCUAGCACUAUAUGCUCUAUAAUGUUUCAGAGGCUGCUUGCAAUUAAAAUAAAAAAUAAGUAAUACAUUACAGGUUACAACCCAGUCAAUCUCCAUGCAUUGUAAUUCACAGCAGCUUUAUAUGCUGAGCUUUCCAAGUGGCUUAUAGCCCACAUAAUAACAACAAAACCCUGAGCCACAGGAAAAGCAAGGCAGAGAUAUUGUCUUUCUGAGUACCUUUCCUGGUGGGUGCUUUAUUUUUCCAGUUCCUUUGCUCUUGAAAGAAAAUGUUGACAUACUUAACUUCCCAUCUCCUGGUUUCCAGGGGACUCAAUGCAAUCAGGCUCCUUGCUGGGGAGGGGCUAUGCUUAUACCCUGUUGUGCAUUAGUGAUGUCUGGGGCCAACUCCCACCUUGCUGUAACCUCCUUUCAUGUCAUUGUGGAGAGCAAUGAGGUCUCCCCUGAGCCUCCUCUUCUCCAGGCUGAACUAUCCCAGUUCCCUCAGCCACUCUCUAUGAGACUAAAAGGGCUGGGAGGAAAUAAGCACAUAUAGAUUAGAGUAUUUUGGCUUCAUGUCAACAAAACACAUAAGCAUGCGCUUAACUUUACGCACUACCACGGUUCUACCCAUGAAAAACACGGACAAAAUGUCCUCCUGUUCUCCUGCUGGGUAAUUCUAACAAUUAUUUCUCAUUGGUUUUUAUUUUUCAGUCCUCCUUUCUCCCCACAAACUCUUUCAGCCUAUCUCAGAGAACGUGGAAAAGCCUAAAUGAAACAACUCAUGCAGGGAAGCACAAGGGGGAUUUUUGUUUAGAAAUCCUAGCAGCAGAUUUCCAUUAUUAUAAAUACAGGCUGAAUUCACUGGUGACAAUAUACAACAUUUAAUUUACAUGUAAAGUGACAAAUUAAAAUCUGAAAUUCCCUGCUUUGUUCUCUGAAAGAAAUGUAACACGACAAGCUCUGAAAGGUGCUCAGCUCUGCCCCGGCAGCACUGCAGGUCUGUGGCUUCAUGUGAUGUGAUGGAGCCCUUAGCAGUGUCAGAAACACCUCAACCCAAUCAUCCAAAGGUGUUUGGGUGCUCAAGUCUCAUCCCAGUUGGGUGUUUUGAGAGUAGAUCCCAGGAGCUGGGUUGAAAUGCAUGCGGGGAGCUGCUGAUUUGAGCACAUUUUGGGCCAGGGGUUGUGUUUACAUCUUAUCACUUCUGUCCUUGCUCCAUUUGUGUCUUGCUGCUUCUGUAAAGCUGCUCCAUCCUUAGCCCAUCCUUGCAGCCUUUCUUGGUGUCUUUUCCAGUUCUAUUGCAGACGGUGCUGACGAGUGGCAGUAUCUGUGUUUUGCAAUAGUGACUCUCAUACACGAGGUGUGGUGGGCAGUGUGUUGGAAGCAAUCUGCUGGCAGUGUGCUGGUGUGGACUUCUCAGCCUGGUCGUAGAAGCUUCCCUGGCCAUCAGCUCCAUGGUCCAUUAUCUCCUUCCCUGCUGACCACCUGAUUACUGCAGCCUUACAAAUCCUCUCCUGCCGCACUUGAAACGUGGCCAAAACAUGGGUAAUACCUACACCUGCCCUCACCUCAUUUCACUUCUAUGCUUUCCAGCAGUGGGGAUAGACAUGAAAAUGCCCCAUCGCUGCUGCGGCACUUUGCUUUUGACUGCAGCAGGUCCAGGGCACAGAUAGGUGCCACUGUUCAUUUGUUACAGCAGCAAACAACAUCAGCCCGGCUGACACUUGCCUCAGUGAGUGCUUUCCUCUGUAGGAAUUCACAAAACAAUUGCUUAAUCUUUUCUGACACUCUUUAGGUGUUUAAACAACAAAAAAAACCUACCAGCUUAUUCCCAUUCCCUGACACGGUGAUGUAGAGACCUGGAGAAUUAAACUGCUGAUGAGCUCCUUUGUUUUAAAUGAUUGCAGUAGGACAUAAAGGAGAGUGGUUUUAACUAGGCUAAGUGAAACAUAAGUUUUCUGAAGGAUACUGAUGUCUCUUUUCAAGAGGCAUCACUAACAGUUGUCUGCUGAGGCAAGCUUGGAUGGAAACACCAGGGCUCUCUGUUGAGCUGGAAUCUGAUUUCUGGGGGUGAACUCCUGCUUCGUAUCCCACUGCAGUCAGCGGGAGAUCUCCCCAUGACAUGGGAUGGGAUGGGGUGUCCUGAACAUCUCCCUGGAGCAGGAAGAGCUGAGAGAGCUCAGCUCUGCAGCCACGGGGCCUCCCGGGUCAGGUCAGCCCCAAAAGAGAGCCCAUGGAGUGCAGAUGUGCAGCUGCACAUCUUGGUGUACCCGGUUCCCCUAUCAACAGAGCCGCACAAAUUGUGCUCAGACCAACCCUACCCAAUUUCUCAGUGCAGUGGUAACAACCAGAGGCAGCUUGCACACAGGAGUGCACACACUGCAUGGCCAACUUCAGAGCAAGAAGAGGUGGGUAGGAAACACACCAGCUAUCUGCUGGCCUCAGUGCUAAGCUCUGUUCAAAUUUACAACCCCAGGCUUCUGCUAAUGAACCAAAUACUCCUCCUUGGGACCAUAUGUUGUGCCAUGCUCCCACUGCAGCCAUCCCGAGUGGCAAAUAUAGUGUUGGUUCGUUUUGUUCUGUUUCAUUCCUGCCGAUCCCAAAUGCCAGCACCAGGUACAGAGAAUGCUGCAGGGAGGAAAAUAAAAGAUGCUUUGUGCACAGUGCCCAGCCUGGGAGUGUUUUUCCAAAGGAGGCAGGUGGGAAGGG
Long non-coding RNA from Gallus gallus (chicken), 17346 nucleotides. NCBI's taxonomy places the organism in Eukaryota, Metazoa, Chordata, Aves, Galliformes, Phasianidae. The record is from Ensembl.